RNAcentral lists this small RNA (283 nucleotides) under Gorilla gorilla gorilla (western lowland gorilla). RNAcentral describes it as "Metazoan signal recognition particle RNA (ENSGGOG00000036725.1)". The stretch from base 137 to 283 matches the Rfam family "Metazoan signal recognition particle RNA". Rfam says of the family: The signal recognition particle (SRP) is a universally conserved ribonucleoprotein. It is involved in the co-translational targeting of proteins to membranes. Lineage: Eukaryota; Metazoa; Chordata; Mammalia; Primates; Hominidae. The record is from RNAcentral.
GCCAGGUGCGGUGGCUCACACCUGUAAUCCCAGCACUUUAGGAGGCCUAGGAAGGAGGAUCACUUGAGCCCAGGAGUUUGAGACCAGCCUGGGCAACAUGGUGAGACUCUUGUCUCUACAAAAAUUUUAAAAAUUAGCUGGGCAUGGUGGUGUGUACCUGUGGUCCCAGCUACUCAGGAGGCUUAGGUGGGAGGAUCACUUGAGCCCAGGAGGUUGAGGCUGCAGUGAUCCACGAUUGCACCACUGCACUCUAGCCUGGGCAACAGAGUGAGACCCUCUCUAA